Molecule: small RNA, 600 nt
Filed under: Pan troglodytes (chimpanzee)
Lineage: Eukaryota; Metazoa; Chordata; Mammalia; Primates; Hominidae
Description: processed transcript
Source: RNAcentral
UACGCAUCCCCAGGCCCACUUCCUGUGCCGCCAUCGCAAAACAAGGGCAGCUUCGGGAAGAACACAGUGAAAAGUGACGCGGACGGGACCGAGGGAAGCGAAAUCGAGGACACUGAUGAUUCUCCCAAGCCCGCAGGAGUCGCCGUUAAAACACCUACUGAAAAAGUUGAAAAGAUGUUUCCACAUCACAAAAAUGUGAAUAAACCGGUCGGUGGAACUAAUGUUCCUGAGAUGUUUAUCAAAAAAGAAGAAUUACAAGAACUAAAGUGUGCGGAUGUGGAGGAUGAAGACUGGGACAUAUCAUCCCUAGAGGAAGAGAUAUCUUUGGGAAAAAAAUCUGGGAAAGAACAGAAGGAACCUCCACCUGCGAAAAAUGAACCACAUUUUGCUCAUGUGCUAAAUGCCUGGGGCGCAUUUAAUCCUAAGGGGCCAAAGGGAGAAGGUUUGCUGCUUUCCCCUCUAAUACAAGCUCGAUCCAUUUUCUUAUUAGUUGUGUUUCAUCUUUAUAAAUAUCUAAUUAACUUAUGCUGGUAUAUCAUCAGACAAAAAAGCUGUCAGUGCUUUCUUUAUGUUAUUUAAAUAAGGAUUGGAUAUGCAUAA